Molecule: ribosomal RNA, 525 nt
Filed under: uncultured bacterium
Lineage: Bacteria
Description: bacterial SSU rRNA
Rfam family: Archaeal small subunit ribosomal RNA
Source: RNAcentral
ACUGAAUAGAUACCCGGGUAGUCCCAGCUGUAAACGAUGCAGACUAGGUGUUUGGACGGCCACGUGCCGUUCUAGUGCCGCAGGGAAGCUGUUAAGUCUGCCGCCUGGGGAGUACGAUCGCAAGAUUGAAACUUAAAGGAAUUGGCGGGGGAGCACCACAAGGGGUGAAGCUUGCGGUUUAAUUGGAGUCAACGCCGGAAAUCUCACCGGGAGCGACAGCAGUAUGAAAGCCAGAUUGAAGGUCUUGCUAGACGAGCUGAGAGGAGGUGCAUGGCCGUCGCCAGUUCGUGCCGUGAGGUGUCCUGUUAAGUCAGGCAACGAUCGAGACCCGCGUCCUCUGUUGCAACCAGCUUUGUGCUGGGCACACUGAGGAGACCGCCACUGAUAAAGUGGAGGAAGGAGCGGGCCACGGCAGGUCAGUAUGCCCCGAAUCUCCCGGGCCACACGCGAGCUGCAAUGGCAAGUACAAUGGGUUCCGACCUCGAAAGGGGGAGGCAAUCUCGAAAGCUUGCCGUAGUUGGAAUU